This 253-nucleotide ribosomal RNA is filed under the name uncultured bacterium. Its description in RNAcentral is "partial 16S ribosomal RNA". It matches the Rfam family "Bacterial small subunit ribosomal RNA", at positions 524 to 776 of the family's 1533-position model. The record is from RNAcentral.
UACGUAGGGGGCAAGCGUUGUCCGGAUUUAUUGGGCGUAAAGAGCGUGUAGGCGGCCAGGUAGGUCGGUUGUGAAAACUGGAGGCUCAACCUCCAGACGUCGACCGAAACCAUCUGGCUAGAGUCCGGAAGAGGAGAGUGGAAUUCCUGGUGUAGCGGUGAAAUGCGCAGAUAUCAGGAAGAACACCCGUGGCGAAAGCGGCUCUCUGGGACGGUACUGACGCUGAGGAGCGAAAGCGUGGGGAGCGAACAGG